CAGCCGCCGCGGGAAUACGAAGGGUGCAAGCGUUAAUCGGAAUUACUGGGCGUAAAGCGUGCGUAGGCGGUUUGUUAAGUCUGCUGUGAAAUCCCCGGGCUCAACCUGGGAAUGGCAGUGGAUACUGGCAAGCUAGAGUGUGUCAGAGGAUGGUGGAAUUCCCGGUGUAGCGGUGAAAUGCGUAGAGAUCUGGAGGAAUACCGAUGGCGAAGGCAGCCAUCUGGCCUAAUACUGACGCUGAGGUACGAAAGCAUGGGGAGCAAACAGGAUUAGAGACCCCCGUAGUCCCUGUCUCUUAUAC
Molecule: ribosomal RNA, 301 nt
Filed under: uncultured bacterium
Lineage: Bacteria
Description: partial 16S ribosomal RNA
Rfam family: Bacterial small subunit ribosomal RNA
Source: RNAcentral